CUACAUAGACUACUGUAGGCUACACUACUCUUUUUUAAGUCAGCAUUUGUUCAGAACAAUUAGCUUUGAAUCAAGACAAAAUGUCGCUCUUAAAAAGUAUCAAAAGAAAGGUGGAUAAUGAAAAUCGAAGUUUCUGGGAAGAAUGUACAGAGAGAUGAAAAUGUCGCUGUUUGCAAAUAAUUAAAUCUCAGAGAUCAUUAUGAAUCUAAACAUGGAACUUUCAAAGUGGCCUUCCCGCCCGAGACAGGAGCACAGGCAGAAACAUUGAAGCAUUAACUACAAGCUAGACACCAGGCUUUUUUGGCUGACAUAUUCUGUCACUUAAACGGGUUAAAUGUGCAGUUAUAAGUAAGAGGGAAAACAGUCGUAGACAUGGUGGAAAAACUUGAGGGCUUUACUAGGAAGAUUGAGUUGUUCGAUUUGGACUUGUAAUGUGGAAGGCUACUGCACUUCAGCACAGUGAAUAAACGACAGGGAGAGUGACGAGGCUGCAGCAUUGUCACAGAUGUGAUUUCAAGAUUUCAUCAACCAGCUGAGGGUCAACUUCUCCACCAGAUUUGGCUGGGAUUUGAAGACUGCACCAUGCCCACGGAUAUCAUUGCGUUUUUACGUGAUCCUUUCACAGUCCGCACAGGUGAAGAAUUCUCCUCCCUUGCUAAGAAAACGAUACCCUCGCUGGACGAGGCUGCAAUUCCAGACAUCAAGCCACAUCAGGGAUGUGCUCAGGAGUGCGGAGGCCUUGUAGCGUUCUGGGUCGCAUGCUCAGAGAAAUACAGCACAAUAAAGAAACUUGCAUUUUAUUUGCUAACAAUUUUUUGAUCGACUUAUACCUGCGAGUCCUCAUUUUCCUCUAUGAACGCAAUAUAGAUUCACGACAGGAAUAAUAUUUCAUAUAAGUAAAUCGAGGACUGCCUGCGCAUCAAAAUCACAUCCAUCUCCCAUUGAACAACGCUGAAGUGAGAGCAGAACAUGGACGUGGUUGUGCGCAAUAACCGCAGAGGACACCGGGAGUUUGCUGUCCAGGCCGAGCACUUGAAACUGCCGGAACUAGGACUGAGACUGAAAGCUCAGGACAUUCACAACAACUACCUCUUCAAAGACAACAUCCCAGAAUACCCAAGGCCAGAGUUCUGGGUUUCCCAGCUCAGACACGACACAGAUGAAUACGGGCUAUUUGGCAUAGCCGUCGAAAGCGAUGGGGGGUUCUGUGCUAGGGACCGAGAAGAGGGGCCAGAGGACCCAGAAGAGGGGCCAGAGGGUUUGGACCUGCUGUGGUGGAGCUUGUCUUUGGGAGCAGAAGAGAUGGCCUCGGCUGAACAACGUCUGCUCCAGACCAGGUACCCUGACAGGACAGAGGAGCAGGCCAGGGAGCAGAAAUCCUUCCUGCAGAGGUUCGCCACCUCACCUGCCUUCCUGGACACCUCUCGGCUGGGCUCCUACCGCUUCACCUUCCCCCUGGAGGAGCUGCUCAAGAGAUACCGGGAACAGCUAUGCGUUGGACACGAGCCAAUCCUGCGUGUUUAUGAGACAGUCCUGUACAAACAGGAGGUGAUGUACUCAGUGCUAGUCCACAGUCACUACAACAACGACCUCUUUGAGAAGUACCCUCUCCUCCAGGACAAUGAUGAUGGAGUCUGUGCUUACAGAGAUGGACAAAUCAUUUGGAGACCCGAGGCCAUGUGUCAGACACACAGCUUGAAAUUGGUGCCAAAGCCCUACCAGAACCAGGAUGUAGCCCACCUGAUCCCUGAUCCACAGAAACACCAGUUCUACGUUUGGGACAACAUUGCUGUAGCGUUCCACAUGGACGGUUCACAGAUGUUGACCUUCGAUAGGUACAAUUUGAGACACCAUCUGAGAUUCUGUGAGCCAGGAACGCCACAAUUUUCCCCCGACUGUGAGUUCACCACAUACGAGGAGGCUAAAGACAUGGUGGACUGCUAUUGGCCUUACUACCCCACCCCCCUCUACUGAUAAACUUACUACCACACCCCCCUGUUCUGCUAAACUUACUACCCCACCCCCCUCUACUGAUAAACUUACUUCCACACCCCCCUGUUCUGCUAAACUUACUACCCCACCCCCCUCUACUGAUAAACUUACUACCACACCCCCUGUUCUGCUAAACUUACUACCACACCCCUUGUUCUGAUUAACUUACUACUACACCCCCUGUUCUGCUAAACUUACUACCCCACCCCCCUCUACUGAUACACUUACUACCACACCCCCUGUUCUGCUAAACUUACUACCCCACCCCCUCUACUGAUAAACUUACUACCACACCCCCUGUUCUGCUAAACUUACUACCCCACCCCCUCUACUGAUAAACUUACUACCACACCCCCUGUUCUGCUAAAC
Molecule: long non-coding RNA, 2361 nt
Filed under: Salmo salar (Atlantic salmon)
Lineage: Eukaryota; Metazoa; Chordata; Actinopteri; Salmoniformes; Salmonidae
Description: lncRNA (ENSSSAG00000085905.1)
Source: RNAcentral